GAUGAACGCUGGCGGCAUGCCUAAUACAUGCAAGUCGAGCGAACGGACCAGGAGCUGGCGCCUCUGAGGGUAUCGGCGGACGGAAGAGGAACACGUGGUUAGCCUAACUAUAAGACUGGGGUACCUACGGGAAACCGUAGCUAAUACCGAAAAAUAUUUUGAACCGCAUUGGGCAAAAGUUGAAUACGGUCUUUCGGUCGGUUAUAGAUGAAUCCGCGCUGCAUUAGCUAGUUGGUAAAGUAACGGCUUACCAAGGCAGCGAUGCAUAGACGACCUGAGAGGGUGAUCGGACAGCCUGGCAGUGAGAAACGGUCCCGACUCCUACACGAGGCAGCAGUAGGGAAUCCUACGCGAUGGGGGAGAGCCUGAUGGAGCAACGCCGCCGGAGUGAUGAACGACUUAGGCCCGGAGAGUUCUGUUAGUAGUGAAGUUCAAAUGUGUUAUUAACCGUGCUGAUAUUGACAGUACCUAGUGAGAAAGCCCCGGCUAACUACGUG
Molecule: ribosomal RNA, 497 nt
Filed under: uncultured bacterium
Lineage: Bacteria
Description: partial 16S ribosomal RNA
Rfam family: Bacterial small subunit ribosomal RNA
Source: RNAcentral